AGAAAGAAAGGGAGUUAGAUCUAGAAAAAUCCAGACUACUUUAAAAAUUAAAACUUAACCCUUAACUACUAAUCAUACGUCUCAUAGACGUUACGGCUUUAUCCGAUUUGUCGUAUGACCCCUCCCUUUUAAUUUUGGACAGUGUCUUUUAUCGUAAUUUAUCAUCACGAAGUACUUAUUCAGUAGCCUGAAAUUAAUAACUAUGUGUGGUACUGUUUUCAAAAUAUCUUGAGUGAAAGAUCGAUUACCGUCUCUCAGACGUAUAGUUAGUGUUAACGUUACAAUAAAAAAUCACAGCCGUCCAUGCGACGUAUAGUUAUUUAAUUCGAAUCACGACGGAUUCUCGACCUACCACAUAUAAGGCUGUAAAAUUAUUAGAAAAUAAUUUUGAAGAACAAUUGUUGCAAUGGUUUGAUGAAUGUGGAAGUGAUGUUAGCGAAAUUCAAGAUGAAUGUACGGAAGAAAUCCAUAUUUAAAGUGAACAUAAUUCGGAUUCUGAAGAAAAAGUUGAAAGUGAGGAAGACAUUACUAAGAGUGCUAAUGAUAAUACAAUUACCAAGUAUUAUUAUGGAAAGAAUAGGUUUAAAUGGUCCAGUGAGUCCAUUAUUUCCAACGUUAAAAAAAAAGAAAAAACUAUUCCCUUUGCUCUUAUAAAAAAAGAGAAGAACGGCGUAUGUUUGUUACAAUUGCCAAAAUCCUAUUUGCCUAGAGUGUGCGAAAAAAUGUGUCCAGAUUAUGCGUCAAA
Long non-coding RNA from Diorhabda sublineata, 745 nucleotides. RefSeq lists it as uncharacterized. The record is from RefSeq and is a predicted model, not a curated record. The transcript is spliced from 2 exons. Lineage: Eukaryota; Metazoa; Arthropoda; Insecta; Coleoptera; Chrysomelidae.